UACCUCUGUGAGUCCUCGCGUGUUUCCCGAAGCUCUCGAUCUUUCAAAUCGACGUAAGUCAGAUUGGUUUCUAUCUACAAAAAUAUUUAAAUAAUUUGUACGAAAGGACUAUAAUUCAUAAAUUAUUUAUAUAUUUAUUAAUAAAUAUUUAUAAUUAUUUU
Long non-coding RNA from Frieseomelitta varia, 161 nucleotides. RefSeq lists it as uncharacterized. The record is from RefSeq and is a predicted model, not a curated record. Lineage: Eukaryota; Metazoa; Arthropoda; Insecta; Hymenoptera; Apidae. The transcript is spliced from 2 exons.